RNAcentral lists this ribosomal RNA (464 nucleotides) under uncultured bacterium. RNAcentral's name for it is "partial 16S ribosomal RNA". It matches the Rfam family "Bacterial small subunit ribosomal RNA", at positions 28 to 507 of the family's 1533-position model. The record is from RNAcentral.
GACGAACGCUGGCGGCGUGCUUAACACAUGCAAGUCGAACGGAAAGGCCCUGCUUGCAGGGUACUCGAGUGGCGAACGGGUGAGUAACACGUGGGUGAUCUGCCCUGCACUUUGGGAUAAGCCUGGGAAACUGGGUCUAAUAUCGGAUAGGAGCCAUUUUUAGUGUGAUGGUUGGAAAGUUUUUUAGGUGUGGGAGGAGCUCGCGGCCUAGCAGCUUGGUGGUGGGGUAGUGGCCUACCAAGGCGGCGACGGGUAGCCGGCCGGAGAGGGUGGACGGCCACAUUGGGACUGAGAUACGGCCCAGACUCCUACGGGAGGCAGCAGGGGGGAAGAUUGCACAAUGGGCGGAAGCCGGAUGCAGCAACGCCGCGGGCGGGAUGACGGCCUUCGGGUGGGAAACCGCUUGCGCCUGUGACGAAGCGUGAGUGACGGUAAUGGGUAAAGAAGCACCGGCUAACUACGUG